Non-coding RNA from Acanthosepion pharaonis, 97 nucleotides. The record is from the annotation of a GenBank genome assembly. Lineage: Eukaryota; Metazoa; Mollusca; Cephalopoda; Sepiida; Sepiidae.
UGAAAAGUCGGUUCUCGUGCGAUCACCGAAGUUAAGCAACGUCGAGCCUGGUCAGUAUCUAGAUGGUUGACCGCAUGAGAAUACCAGAUGGUGUAAG